RNAcentral lists this non-coding RNA (28 nucleotides) under Bombyx mori (domestic silkworm). Lineage: Eukaryota; Metazoa; Arthropoda; Insecta; Lepidoptera; Bombycidae. The record is from RNAcentral.
UAGAUCUGUAUGUUUGUGAUUCCUUCUC